RNAcentral lists this long non-coding RNA (12151 nucleotides) under Coffea arabica (coffee). Its description in RNAcentral is "long non-coding RNA (CARA_LNC003321)". The record is from RNAcentral. Lineage: Eukaryota; Viridiplantae; Streptophyta; Magnoliopsida; Gentianales; Rubiaceae.
UUUUUUUUUUUUUUUUGUGAGUGGGAGGUCUCUCUCUCGGGAGAGCUCCCACUUAUUUGAAACUAUUCACCCUAUGAUGCAUAUUUUAAAGUAGAUGAAAGGAUAGGAUCCAGAUAAGAAUUUUGACAGCAAUGAAGGUCUUUUAAGUAUUGGAAACGUGUACUUAGAUCUCAAUAUAGAGGAGAUUGAAAUAUUAAAUAAACUACCAAAGUUGUAACAUAUUUCAGGAAGGAAUGAAUUAAAUGGCACAGGAAAACAGAGUGUAAAUGAGAGAUUCGAAAUUUAAAACCUCACACCUAUACUUAAAAAAAAGUCAAAAAAAAAAGUUGUAACAUACUCGGAGCAUUUGGACAACAUUAAAGCAUUAUUGAAUACUCCCUCUGUCCUAUCUUGAUAGUCCUAGUUUUUUCACACAGUUUAAGAAAAAGUAAUUAACUUUGUUGGAAAAACAAAUUUAGAUUGCUAUUUUUCUAAAAUACCCUUACAUUAAAUAAAGUUGGCUUUUCAUAUAUCUAUAUGUUUUGAAAAAUCUAAAUGCAUUAAAUGGGGUAUGUUAUAUUCAAUACUAAUAAUCUAUAUUAAAUAAGGUAAUUUAUAGUAAUAACAACUUACAUUAAAUAAGGGUAUUUUAGAGAAAUUAAAAGAUAACUACAUUUUUCAAUUGGAAAGUGGACUACAAUUUGGAACAAACGAAAAAAGGAAAACAAGACUAUUAAAGUGGGACGGAGGGAGUAUCUAUCUAGAUUAGGUAUCAGUGGAUACAUUUCUGAUAAAAUAAAUCGCAUUCAUACAACCUGAAAGUGUCAGCAGAAAUGUAUCUCUGAUAAGUGAUCAUGAAGAUGACCCAAUAUUACUAUUGCAAAAGGAAAGAAGGGAUAAACGCAGAUUCUUUUUUGUUUUUAUUUUUUGAGUGCAAAAGAAUAUUGAAAGAAUUGGAGGACAUAUGACCAAAUUCUGGCACUCGAAAAUAUUUGACCAAAUUCUGAUUCUUGAACUCUUGUAACUAUCCUUUUUUUUUUCUUUUUGGCAGUAAAUUUAUUCCGUUCUUUUCUAUUAUAAUGGAUUGUACAUGAAGCCACUGUAGUAAGGUAGUUUUACCAAGAAAUCUAAAAUAGAGGCACUCUGCAUAUCUUUUAAGUACAAAAGAAGAGUUGUAUAAUCACUUUGUGAGAACCCGUAUUUUUCCCAUUUUUUAGGUUUUAUUAUUUUCCGUGGCUUGUUUUCUGCAUUUUCGUGAUUAGGAAAAUUUUUAGAUACUUUUAAGGAGCAGAUAUAAUUUUUAGAUGAUUUUUCUAGUAUCAAAUAGAUUUUUAGAAAUUAAGAGCAUAUACCGGACGUGGGACCCACUGAUGCGAAAAGUUCGGAAAAAUUCGGCCAACUAGAUUAAGUUUUGAAUACUGGAAUUAAUUUACCGGGUGUUAAGAGAUAAGUAGAGGGUGCUAAGUGGAUUGAUAUAAGAGAGACAAGGUUGGUGAACAUUUAUUAAAAGGUGACAAGUGUCACCAUUUGAGAGGUUGAACCUUAAGACCACUAUUCAUGGUCUUACCAUUUGACUUAAAUAAACCAAAAAUGACCCAAAAAUCAUCAAAAUAUCCUCCAUGGUGGCCGAGCUUCUUGAGCAACAAAAGAAAGAAAGCUCUUCAAGAUUUUAGCUUCAAUCUUGCUUCAAUCAUCAAAACCAACCAUCCAACCUUGAUUUUCCUCCAUAAAACACCUUCAAGUAGUGUUUGUGAGUUGUUGUGUGAAGUUAUUUGGAAAGUUAAGGUGACCAAUAACUCUCUCUCUCUCUUGUGUUCAAGGUAAGUUGUGAAGAACCACCCUCCUCCCUUAAUUGAUGCUUAAAUCAUGCUUAGUGGUUGUAUGAGAUGCAAAUUUAUGGGUUAUUUCUUGAUUUGUGAUUGAAAUGAUGAAGUUUUAUUAUUUUUGGAGAUUUUUCUGUUUUAAUAUAAGCAUGAUUGUGUGGCUAUCUAUGAUGAUUAGAAAUGGUAUAUAAGGCAUCUAGAAGGUGGAAAAAGUGGAAGAUUGCAAGUAAUUUCUGUUUUGGAAGAAAAUUGAAAAACCUAGGGUUCAUGAAGCUACAUUCUGUCCGAAUUUUUAGGUCCUAGAUAGAGGCCGAAUUGGCCUUGGCUUAAAACAUGAAAGUUGUAGGGAAUAACAUUUUAGAGGUGACUACAAAAUUUCAGGUCAAUCGGAGUAGUGUAGAAUGAGAUAAGUCGAAAUUACUAUUGCUGUUCUGGUUUUACCCGAAAUUGAGAAGUGCGUCUGUAAUGGGUUGUUUUGGCUGGAAUUGCUUCCGAAUUGGUUGUUGAGGCCUUCUAAUGAAAUUUAGCUCUGUUUCUUAGCUUUCAGCUGGUUUUGGAAUUUCUGGAUUUGGACUUGGAGAGCCUGAGUUAUGAUGUUUCCGCUAGAAUGCGUUUUGGUGAAUCUGUUUUACGUUUUUGAUGUAGUAUCUUGCAUUUUUGACCUGUUUGCACUCAAAAAUGGGUUGAGUGACCUUCUUCAAUAUUGUAGCCCUAUCUCUUAGCUUCGAAACGGUGGGUCUUGCACCUUCAUCCGAUAAUCGUAGUGCCUUUGGCACCAUUACCGCAAAAUGAGGACAAAAACUGUUUUUUUUCAGGGCUAAAGCUAAUUGCAUUUCCGAAUUUUCUGGUUUCCUCUAUUGUUUGUGUAUGCUUAGGGAACCCUGUUUUGGUAGUAUGUAGAAUUGGUUUAUGACUUGUAAUCGAGUCUUAUUGUGUUUUAUUGGAAUAGUUUAGGGCUUGACUUUCAUAUCCGGUCAUUUCCUAGCUAAAUUUUGUACUUGAAUGCCAUUAAGCCUAGUGAACGGCUUUUGGGAAUGAGAUUAUUUUUGGACGAGAUGUUGGGACUAAUUUGAGGAAAUAAUGAAGCCAUGAUGGCUGGAAAAUAGGUAAACACAAGGGUUAUGCUGCCGGAAUUUUUCUUGAAGGCUAGUUGGAUUUACUUGUGAUUUGAACGAAGGGCUUUUGGGUUGUUUGAGCCUAGGUCUUCAUGUUACCUUUUUGUUACCAAAAAUCAUGUUUUGCACCCUUGCUUUAGUAAUUAUUUGGCGAGGCAUACGACUGGUAGUCGAGCCUCACAUGUGCAUUCUGUAUACUCGAUUUUGAAAGUGGAAUCUUCCAUUGUUUUCCUUGGAUUAUUUUGGGGUUUCUUGGUGAUUAAAGCUCUCUUUUGGGAGGUAUCUGCACUGACCCUGGUGAGUGUACUACUCACUUGUGUGUUACUAUAUGGCUUUGAAUGUAAAUUGUUUGAAGUAAAUUGAAUGUGACUUGAUUGAAGUGAAAGUGUACUUUAUCGCUCUCACUUAUAUGCCUUAUAUCAUUGUUGUCAUGUUAUUGGAAUGUUACAUGAAAUGUUACAUGAAAUGAAAGUUGAAAUGAAAGUACUUUUCGAUUGGACGAGUAUCCAACGAUUACAAAUGUUAUCAAUGAGCUCAACCCCAUUGGUAGUUGAUUGAAUCGAGCCGGCGAGGGCUUGGUCGUGCCAAUUAAUGAACCUUGGGUAAAGUUAUAUGGAAUCUUGUAGUAUGCGAGACUCUCGAUUCCGGUAUACUCGAGUAAUACCAAAGUGCAAGUGUUUGGAGUUCGGGCCCGGUAGGGGGAUGUUAGGUGGAAGGAGUGGAGGGAAAGUGGAGUCUACGGUUGGUUACUUUUCGAACAUUGACGGAGAGUCAAUGACGUCCGAUCAAGAAAUGCAAACGAGGAAAAGGCUCUUGAGAGCCAUCUGUAUCCUUUUAUCACCAUAUUUGACGUGUGCCUUUGCUUAUCUUACUAUAUUGAAUGAAAGCUUGAUGCUUAUAUGCACUUGGUUGCGUAAGUGAUAGUAUCUCACUGGGCAAUUAGCUCACACCGUUCCUUUUGUUUUCCUUACAGGAAUAUGACUCUUUUUGGAAUGAAUCUUGAUAGAUGGUUGCCGAAUGAACUAGAUGUAUAUUUCUUUUGUAUUGUAUAUGAAGUGAAACCCUAAAUGUAUCUUUAGGGCCGUUUUCACUUUCAAUUUGGCAAAUCGUAUAUAUAUUAACUUUUGAAAACUUUUGUAUGUCACUUUGGAUUGUAUUUGCUAAAGUUCAAGAUGUGAAUGUUUGUUCGAUAUUUGGUUGCGUUCUGACGGGUCGGUUACUAUUCAUGGCCGACUCCGAAUUUCUUUUUUUUUUUUGGGUUAUUUUGCCCUUUUGCCUUGUUUACGCGCGUUAUAAGUUCCGGAACGCAAUAGAUCGCUCUAAACUGCACCGUUAGUCCUGGCGAGAGUUGGGCAGGCAAUCCGCUAACCCCUUUGGUUCGCCUUAGGGGAAGGUGGGACUGUCACACACUUACUAAAAUAAAGUAUUUUAAAGUAGUACCCUUCAAACUUCAAUAGCUGCCUUUUUGGUUCAAGGCAUGAUUCAAAAGGAAAGUUUGAUGCUUUAUCCUUUUAUUUAAUAUUUCAUGUGCUCCAGUUGUUGGAACUAUCAAGACACUUUGAACCUUUUCCCCUUUUUUAAUUUUUGCUAUUUAAUCACUUUACGAUUAAUUUUUUAUACAGUGACAGUAUAUACAAUUUCACCAUUAGAUGAAUAACACAUAAUUUAAAUUUGAAUUUAAAAUUCAAAAUUUACACAUAUGUUAUGCAUUCAACUGUAAUAGUGUAUAUAUUAUCAGUGUAUAUAAAAUUAACUCACAACUUUAUUUGCUUUAUGGAUUUUUUUCCAUUUGCGGAAAUGGGAUCAAUAGUGCUGGAGUGCACAUGGAGGAUUUUUCUUAAUUUGUUUUGUUUAGAUAAAGUUGCUGGAAGAGUUAAAGGAUUAGUUGUACAUUCCAAUGCCAACAUUUAAAUGCUUAGCUCCGAAGCCAAUGAGCAGAGUCCUAAAAAGCAUAUUCAUCAAUAUGACGGCUACCUAUUCUUUUUUGUCUAUUGAAAGACUUUUUCUAUUUUAAGUCUUAUCUGCUACUUUGCUACUAUAAAAAAUUCAUUUCCUUUCAUCUCUUCCUUUCAUGAGAGACUGAGUCUAACACUUUUGUAUAGUACUACUUGAGCCUUUACUCAUAUAAGUGUACAUCUUUUUGCCAAUCACUAUAAAAACUACCGUUGCUGAAAAAAAAAAAAAAAAAAGAGAGACUGAGUAACUUCAUUGUUUUCUUGGAUUUGUCUAACGGACAUGAGAUGAAGGAUUUUUUAUGGAUUAAAUCUUAUAUACAUUGACAGUAUAUACACUAUCAUCAUGUAUAUCACAUGUGUGAAAGUUGGAUUUCAAAUUUAAAUUUUAUAUAAUUGUCAUUCAUCUAAUACUGGCGGUAUAUACACUGUCGAUGUAGGAAAGAUUAAUUCUUUUUCUAUAUCAUGCAUUUUGCUCUUGAAUUGUCUGUGGUGAUUUUUGGGGUGCAGAAACUAUACAAUGACUAAAUAGGUCCAAAAAAAUAAAAAUGGGAGAAUCAAUUAGGCUAGGAAAAAGAAUUCAAAGACUAAAUCUGUCUUCAUAGAAGUUGGAGGAUCCCGAAUAAUCAAUCGGUCUGUCUUUGUUAAAAUAUAUUUCAAAUGUGAUGUUUUUAGAAAUAUAAGAUUAAUUAGGAUCAAUAAAUAAAUAUAAGAAAGUGUAGACAAAAUUAAAUAAAAAAUAUAUAUAAAUACAAGGGAUAAUAACAAUUAUUAGUACGUGUAUUUAUAGGAUUGGUAAUUUCAAUUUUCCCAACAUCAGUCCGUUAGUACAGUUUGUAUAUUUUGAGUUUCCGUACAAAAAAAUUAAUCCACACGUACAAUCAAUCAGUAGAAAGUUUCAUGUAAAAGUACAAAAUUUUGAGCUCUACCAAACCCACCCUAAUAUCAGAAUUAGUCUCACAUUUUGUUACCAUUUACUUGUCAAAUCUCAAUAUAAUCAGUCUCAUCAAUAUGACUUUUUUGUCACCACAAAAUCACAGCCCACAAUAUCUUCUCAAGAAUGCACUUCCCCAGUGUCACACGUUUAAAGAAUGGCAAUCCAGACCAUCAAGCAAGAUGACCAAUUCCAUACACGGUUCUUGAACUUGUCAACAAAAUGAAAUAACAAAGCACGAUGGACGCACCACUAUUGACAGUUUGUCUGGACGUCACAAAGUCCCCCUCUAAAGAAGCGAUAUUUGCUAUUCGCCACGACCAUAGCAUUUCAAGAUUUGAUUAGGUGGGAGGUCAAAAUUCAAAUUGUGUCUUUCAUUACUUACUAUUAUGUGUGGAUCAGUAUGGCUGUCACUUUAAAUGGUUUAAAUUCAUAUGAAUGUGCAUUGAACUCGUCUGGUCUGACGGUGGUUCAAUCUCUGUCGGUUCCCUUAUGAUUCAGUUGGACUCUCCUCCUCAAUAUAGAUUAGAGUAGGAAUAGGAGUAAAUAUACGAUUGACAAAAAAAAAGUUAUAUUUGUUGGAAAUAGAAUUUUUGUAAAUAGGUAUAAUCUUAAUAUAAAUCUGAAUUAUAAUUGAAUUAAUGUAAAACUAACAAUUACGUUAAAAAUAUAUUAAUUUACAUCGAAAUUGUGCAAGUUUACACAAUUAGUUAGAGCUGAAGAGAACCUUAACUAGAGAGGCUCCGAAUCCAUAUUUAUUGGCUUGUUCUCAUUCCAAUUAAAAAAAAAAAGAAAAAAGGAAGCAUCCCAUUUAACUUGGCCAUAGAAGAGAUGUUCUUGAAGAGUUGAAAAAAUCAUGUGUAGCCUUGAAAAAACCAAAAUACAAAUUCUUCAACCUAUAAAUUUAUUGUAGUUUUACUCGGUUUGUUUUGUCGCACGUAAACAGAUAUUCGUGGCCCAGUGUCAUUCAUUAUUUCACUCUUGCAAAUAAUGUCAAACUAAGUGUAAAAUAGUAUUCCAAACCAUAUAUAUAUUUUUAUUUUUUUCAAAUGGCAAACUAAACAUGGCCAAGUGGGACAUUUCCAUCUUUCCAAAGCUGCAAGUUGAAAGGAUAUUUAAUCCCAAAAGAAACCAUUCGGCCAAAGGUGGGGGCUAGCAGACAAUAUGCUAGUUGCCAAGUAAAGAUGGCUUAGAAUUUCAGAAGACUCUGCGAACUUUCACUAUUUCAAAGUUCAAACAACAAAAACCAACGGAAAUGUAUAGGCAUCCUUUGUCAGGAGCAAGUCAGCCAACUUCCUUGUUCAUAACAAUUUUAUCUCCUUCCCCAAUCUUUCCUGAGAAUUGGACUCAGCCCAACUCAAGAUUUCUGAUACUAUACAUUGCACAGAUCCCCCUCUAAUCCAUUUGUUAUUGUUUUUUUCUUUUUCUCCCGUAAAUCAAACGUUAAAGAUGAUGAUGACCAGGUGUCCAGAGGCCUAUAGAGUCUUCUGCAAUCCAGUCAAAGUAAUGGGGAUUUUUGUAGCUUCCUUGGUGGGGUUCUUGGUUUGGUUCUCAGCAAUGAGCGGCUGGCCUUCCUAUGGCUUUCAAUGGAGUCAGAAACCAGGGAAAGAAGGUAUCUAGCUGGCUCCUGCUUUGCUAUUGAUUACUUCUUUUUUUUUUUUUCUUGUUUGGCAGAAUAAAUCUCAUUGAUUUGUUUCUUUGAUUUGCAAAGAUAAUCCAAAAUUCAAGAGCUUGCUUGAAUCUGUUUAAGUGGUUUGUCUCUUGUAGCUUUUGCAUUGAACCAAUGAAUCUUGGAAGUUGCUGUUUUUGCUAAGUAUCUCCGCGUUUGAGUAAUUAUUGUGAAUUGGGUGCCCGUUGACCGAAUUUGAGUAAUUCUUAUGUGGAAUUAUUAUUACGAGGCAUCAUUACUAGCAAGAAUUACUAGAAAUUAAUAAGACUUUACACUUUUUUAAGAAAAUUCAAAUCAACUUCAAUUGCUUCUGAAUUUGGCAUUGUUUUGAUGAUUAUUACAUCUCCAAUUGCAAAAUUUAUAUACAAUUAGAACCCUUGAUCUUGUUCAUUAAAACUUUCUCCAAGGUGCAAAAGCAUGUUAGGUUAAUGUGCAGAUUUCCAAAUUAGAUUGACCUUACAAGAACUGACACUUUUUGGGAUAUAAGAUCUUGAAACUUAUGUCCUUUAUACUGUGAGAAAUGAAAUUGAUUAGGAUACGAGUACAAUUUUUGGAUGCAUGAUUGAAUGGACCAAAUCAACAUAGUCAUUGCUAGAUUAGGUACCUUCUCAAGAAAAUGGGAUUGAUCCCAUUUGAAACUAUUGAUUGAGACCUCCAAAAUCCAAACAAUUAGUCAUGAAACACUUAGAUUAGAAAAUCAAUCGAACAAAUGUGUAUGCACUAUGAACACAUAAACAAAUUUCUAUGGAUUAAAAUCCUCCUAAGAUGCAUAUUUCUACCGAUGGAAGAAUUAGUGAGAUAAUUAACUAGGUAGAUCCUAUUGUAGUACAUGAAACUACCUAACUUAUUAUUAGGCUAUUUGGUAAUAUAUUCCAUUAGGUUGUUUUGGAUGGGAUUAGGUGUUUAUGCAUAUAAUCGGGUAAAUGCACAAAGAUAGACACAGUACUAUUUGGAGCAAAAUUUUGAUGCAUUGAACAAUUGAACAUAGUGGAAUUUAGAAAGUCAAAGGUGUCUAAUCUUUGGUCUCUUAUCCUCUCAGAUUACUUUAAACAUGUCAUACUCUAUUUAAUUUUAGUCAGUUGUGAUUAAUCAUUACAAUAUCUUAUCAUUUUUGUUUUUGGUAAGGUAAAAUCUUCAUAUAUACUAUUUGAAUGUCUCUCUCUCUCUCUCUUAUUGGUCCCUUUUCUUUUUUGGUUUAUUUUUUAUUCCUAGCUAAGGCUUUGAUAUUUAAGGAUAAAUUUCCUAAAUUGAUGGAGAUAAGAAAGUGUGAAAUAAUAUAAUCUUUUAUACUUAUUUCUUCUUCAUUUUUCCAAUUAGUGAAUUUUAGUGUCUAAUGUUCUAUGAAAUUCUAAUGAACAUGGUCACCAGGAUACCUAAUGGUCAAUAUAAUCCUAUGUAAAAUGUCUUUCUUCCUUAGCUAGAGUACUAGUCAGACUCUGACCUUCCCAUCUCCUUUCCUGCACCUUCUAAAACAUUUCAGGAGAAGAAAAAAACAACAACCAGUAUAAUGAGUGAAAUUUUCAUAGUUGAAACUGUAUAUUAAGUUAUUGAGCAAUAUGAUUUUUUUUUAAACCUACAUGAACAUUGGUAAUGUAUAAUGGUUUAUUUAGAUUUUUCCAAAAAAAAAAAAGGGUUCAUUGAGAGGCCUCAUUUUUUUCAAACAUGAGAAUAGUUGAUCUAUAUGUGGUUAAACAGCAAAAAACUUAAAGUUGCCAUGCCGCCCAUUACACCAAGUGUUCAUCAUAUUUCAUGGUCAAGAAUUUAUGGAAAUAACUCACGCGAUCCUUCGAACUUUUGAAAUAUUUAUGUUGGCUCCCUGAACACUGAGAAAUCAAAGAUUUCUCUUUGUUUCAUUUAUCAGAUGUGAUUGUUUAAUGUUGUUUGGUGGGAAUUGUUCCAAAUUUUCUUCCGUUAGUUGAUUAGUGUUCUCUGGCUCAUUGAAUUGCUUGAGAAGAGGCUGUUGCCUCGUGUCUGUUAGCUUCACAUGCAAAUUGCUCACGAUGAAAUAUUAGAGCCAUUUGCUUGACAUUUGCCAUCAUUGUCCUCAACUAUUUUUUCCAUAACUCUUCUCUUUUCUUUCCACAGAUGUUAAUUUGGACGACAUUAUAGAACAGAUCAGGUACAUUGGAGAUUCUUUUCCCCAGCCAGUCGAGGUGCCAAAGGAUAAGCUUCUUGGUGGCCUUUUCCCAGAAGGAUUAGAUGUAAAUACAUGUGUAAGUAGGUAUCAAUCAGCCUUGUACAGAAAGGAACAAAAACACCAGCCUUCUCCCAAUCUAGUCUCAAGGUUAAGAAAAUAUGAAGCCCUGCAUAAACAAUGUGGACCAUUUACAGAGUCCUACAACAGAACCUUGGAAUAUCUCAAGUCAGGCAACCAUGGCCAAGACUCCAAUUCCACUGGUUGCAAGUACGUAAUCUGGAUUCCAAUGGCUGGUUUAGGAAACAGAAUGCUUAGCUUAUCAUCUGCUUUUCUUUAUGCCCUGCUAACAAAUAGAGUCCUACUUGUUGAUCCAGGAAGUGGAGUUUCUGAUCUUUUCUGUGAACCAUUUCCUGAGGUUUCCUGGUUACUCCCCUCUAACUUCCCCCUUAUUGGUAAGUUCAGUAGCGUUGAUCAGAAAUCUCCUGAGACUUUUGGAAACCUGUUGAGAAACAGAAGCCAUGCUAAUUCAACUUCAUCUUCCCUGCCACCAUAUCUCUAUCUCUAUCUAGUCCAUGACUAUGAUGAUUUUGACAAGCGUAUCUUUUGUGAUCAUGAUCAUACUAUUCUCCAGAAUAUACCUUGGCUUAUUGUGAAAUCAAACAUAUAUUUUGCCCCAUCUCUUGUUUCAAUUCCAUCUUUUCAGCAAGAUAUUAGCGAUCUAUUCCCAAAUUUAGGAACUGUGUUUCAUUACCUGGGCCGGUAUCUCUUUAAUCCCACCAACUUUAUUUGGGGGCUUGUCACCAGGUAUUACAACAUCAAUUUAGCCAGGGCAGAUGAAAAGAUAGGCAUUCAGAUACGAGUACUAGACAAAGAUUUUGGUCGUUUUGAGCGCGUGCUAAAUCAGACUUUGGGUUGUAUGCUGAGGGAGAAUCUGCUACCAGAAAUCAACGGGACCAAACCUGUCGUCAUUCAAUCUGGAAAGCUCAAGACUAAAGCUCUUCUGAUUACAUCUUUAAGAUCUUGGUACUCCGAGGCAAUAAAAAGCAUGUACUGGAAACGUUCCACCGUCACAGGCGAAGUGGUUGAAGUACACCAGCCAAGCCAUGAGCAGUACCAGCAUACUAGAAGACGAAUGCACAAUAUAAAAGCAUGGGCAGAAAUCUAUCUGCUGAGCUUGACUGAUAAGCUGGUCACAAGCGGAGGUUCAACUUUUGGCUAUAUAGCUCAUAGUCUUGGAGGAUUGAAGCCAUGGAUCCUUUACAAGCCUGAGGAUCAUGUAAUCCCAAAUCCACCAUGUCAGCGGGGCGUGUCAAUGGAACCUUGCAUGCAUGCCCCUCCAUAUUAUGAUUGCACAAGUAAAAAAUGGACUGGCCCAGGUGGUAAACUUGAUCCUAAUGUACAGCAUUGUGAUGACAAAUGGUGGGGUAUUAAAUUCAUUGACAGAGAAUAGGACUAGUGACCAUUUUGUUAAUUCCUGGAGAAAUAGAAAGAAAAAAUUUUCCCUUGUACACUUCAAUAUUUGCAGUGAUAUAGUCCAAAUAUUGUUUCUUCUUUUCUCAAAGAUUGCCUGAAGGACAAUGUAGUAAGCCAGUUUUACCAGAGGGCUUCAUACAUGGCCAUUUCAGCUUAACAUCUAAAACCAGGAACCACGGGCGCCAUUUUGCUCCAGCAUUGCAAUUCCAGUUCCUGUAAAGCACUAACCAAAUCUCAUCAAGCAGCAAAAGCUCGAAAGCUCAUUGGCAAAUCUAACCAAACAGCAAAGAGCUUGAAUUGUAGGGAAACUAUGCUUGUAGCACCACAAACAGGAUGAAUGCGUAAAACGUACGAUACUGGCUUUAUGGGCUAACAAAUACAAUAUCACAUAACAUCUCCACUAUCAUAAGAGCUAUUCCUCGUAUAUUUGAGAGAAAUGAAACGAGAACCUUGAGCACAAUGCUAUGGUAGCCAUUGAUGCUGUUUUAUCCCUUUUUGGUCAAAGGAGACUUCAAUACUUCGAUACUGCUUCCAAGAGAAAGAGCCACACAUUUGAGCCAAGCUGAGUGCAUGGAACACUGGUUCAUGGCAGCUGAUGACUACCCUAUUCAUCUAAAACAUGCUAUCUAGAGGUUUCUCACCUUCUCAUUGAUUAAACUGAUUACCCUCUGCUCAUUAUUCACGCAGGUGCUUCUGCACAACAGAGAGAUUGAGCAAAUGCCCUGUCCCUAGCCCUACAGAAGUUGCGCUAGAGGAUAUUUGUUAUUAAGCAUAACUGAUUCCACAACUGAAUCCAAACAGCUUCACCAAGAAAUAUAUGUUAUACGAAGACAACUUGGAGAUGAAUGUAUACACAAAACAUUUACUCUGCAAUAAACCGCAAAGAUCCAUUACACAAGUUGAAAAGCAUAAUCAAACAGUGAUGUUCAAAGCCUGAUAUCAUUGCUGAACUUAGUAUCAGAUAGUCACAAUGACAUUUAGAUCGGUAAAGCCACCUUUAGAAACUCCAUCAAACUCUGAAAUGCCUUAGUUUUUCCUCCCCUCACACAAGAUAAUGUGGUAUCCAUGU